AACGCAACUGGCGCCGGCUUACCGGCAUGCCUGUUUCAGUGUGCUAGGAGAGUAAACUAUCAUUAUAAAAUAUAAUGCGAUUGAGGUACAUUUACGUUAUUCUUUAGUUAAAUAUGAAUGUGUGAAAGAUGAGUAAUCUCUCACACUGGCAAACGAAUUAGUCAUGCUUGUUCGUGAUCUCUUUUAACCAGUGCUAAAGGUUUUUGCUUAGCUAUAAAUCACAUCUAAUCUAUUAAAUAUCUCCAAAUUUGGCAUCUGAAAUCAUACAAGGAUACCCUCUGAACUUAA
This 288-nucleotide unclassified non-coding RNA is filed under the name uncultured fungus. RNAcentral describes it as "partial contains 5.8S rRNA and ITS2". Lineage: Eukaryota; Fungi. The record is from RNAcentral.